AGCGGAACAAGCAAUCCAUUAAAAGAGUCAAGUAGAGAAUAAAAUCUACUAUCUUUUAUGAUUUAAAAAGGUUUUUCAUCACUUUUAUCGCUGAGACUAAACUUUAUAAAUAAUCCACAUCAUCCCUGCACUACGGCCAAAGAUAUUAAUUAGUAUCACAACCACAAAUUAUCCAUGCACUACGGGCCAAAGAUAUUCG
This 199-nucleotide long non-coding RNA is filed under the name Panax ginseng (ginseng). Its description in RNAcentral is "long non-coding RNA (PGIN_LNC012293)". The record is from RNAcentral. Lineage: Eukaryota; Viridiplantae; Streptophyta; Magnoliopsida; Apiales; Araliaceae.